RNAcentral lists this ribosomal RNA (375 nucleotides) under uncultured bacterium. RNAcentral describes it as "partial 16S ribosomal RNA". It matches the Rfam family "Bacterial small subunit ribosomal RNA", at positions 338 to 710 of the family's 1533-position model. The record is from RNAcentral.
CCUACGGGUGGCAGCAGUGAGGAAUAUUGGUCAAUGGACGAGAGUCUGAACCAGCCACGUAGCGUGAAGGAUGACUGCCCUAUGGGUUGUAAACUUCUUAUAUAUGGGAAUAACAUGUUCCACGUGUGGGAUUUUGUAUGUACCAUAUGCAUACGGAUCGGCUAACUCCGUGCCAGCAGCCGCGGUAAUACGGAGGAUCCGAGCGUUAUCCGGAGUUUUUGGGUUUAAAGGGAGCGUAGAUGGAUUGGUAAGUCAGUUGUGAAAGUUUGCGGCGCAACCGUGAAAUUGCAGUUGAAACUGGCAGUCGUGAGUACAGUAGAGGUGAGCGGAAUUCGUGGUGUAGCGGUGAAAUGCUUAGAUAUCACGAAGAACACC